Molecule: ribosomal RNA, 482 nt
Filed under: uncultured bacterium
Lineage: Bacteria
Description: partial 16S ribosomal RNA
Rfam family: Bacterial small subunit ribosomal RNA
Source: RNAcentral
AUUGAACGCUGGCGGCAUGCUUUACACAUGCAAGUCGAACGGUAACAGGCCGCAAGGUGCUGACGAGUGGCGAACGGGUGAGUAAUGCAUCGGAACGUGCCCAGUCGUGGGGGAUAACUACUCGAAAGAGUAGCUAAUACCGCAUACGAUCUAUGGAUGAAAGCGGGGGACCGUAAGGCCUCGCGCGAUUGGAGCGGCCGAUGUCAGAUUAGGUAGUUGGUGGGGUAAAGGCUCACCAAGCCAACGAUCUGUAGUUGGUCUGAGAGGACGACCAGCCACACUGGGACUGAGACACGGCCCAGACUCCUACGGGAGGCAGCAGUGGGGAAUUUUGGACAAUGGGCGCAAGCCUGAUCCAGCAAUGCCGCGUGCAGGAAGAAGGCCUUCGGGUUGUAAACUGCUUUUGUACGGAACGAAACGGCUCUGGUUAAUACCCGGGGCUAAUGACGGUACCGUAAGAAUAAGCACCGGCUAACUACGUG